Molecule: Y RNA, 95 nt
Filed under: Microcebus murinus (gray mouse lemur)
Lineage: Eukaryota; Metazoa; Chordata; Mammalia; Primates; Cheirogaleidae
Description: Y RNA (ENSMICG00000025585.3)
Rfam family: Y RNA
About the family: Y RNAs are components of the Ro ribonucleoprotein particle (Ro RNP), in association with Ro60 and La proteins. The Y RNAs and Ro60 and La proteins are well conserved, but the function of the Ro RNP is not known.
Source: Rfam by way of RNAcentral
UGCUGGUCUGAUGAUAGUGAGUUAUCAGAUAUUAUUAACAUUAGUGUUACUAAAGUUGGUAUAUAACUUCCCACUGCUAAAUUUGACUGGCUUAA